UCACACACACCUACUGCAUGCAAAAGACCAAUGCAAACUAAACUCUUCCAAGCACAAGCUCAAACACACUUCAACAAUCUAAACUCUUCCAAGCACAAGCUCAAACACACUUCAACAAUCUAAACUCUUCCAAGCACAAGCUCAAACACACUUCAAAUAUAUCAGUUUUCAAUCAGAAAUAAAAAACUCAGUUUGCCCUAAAC
This 203-nucleotide long non-coding RNA is filed under the name Lathyrus oleraceus (garden pea). Its description in RNAcentral is "Pisum sativum (pea) long non-coding RNA (PSAT_LNC038206)". The record is from RNAcentral. Lineage: Eukaryota; Viridiplantae; Streptophyta; Magnoliopsida; Fabales; Fabaceae.